Molecule: ribosomal RNA, 303 nt
Filed under: uncultured bacterium
Lineage: Bacteria
Description: partial 16S ribosomal RNA
Rfam family: Bacterial small subunit ribosomal RNA
Source: RNAcentral
AGCAGUAGCCGCGGUAAUACGUAGGGUGCAAGCGUUAAUCGGAAUUACUGGGCGUAAAGCGUGCGCAGGCGGUUAUAUAAGACAGAUGUGAAAUCCCCGGGCUCAACCUGGGAACUGCAUUUGUGACUGUAUAGCUAGAGUACGGCAGAGGGGGAUGGAAUUCCGCGUGUAGCAGUGAAAUGCGUAGAUAUGCGGAGGAACACCGAUGGCGAAGGCAAUCCCUUGGGCCUGUACUGACGCUCAUGCACGAAAGCGUGGGGAGCAAACAGGAUUAGAUACCCCCGUAGUCCCUGUCUCUUAUAC